UCUCUGGUAGUCCAGUGGUUAGGACAGAGCACUUUCACUGCUGGGACCUGGGUUUGAUUCUGGGUCGGGGAA
This 72-nucleotide transfer RNA is filed under the name Bos taurus (domestic cattle). It matches the Rfam family "tRNA". From Rfam's summary of the family: Transfer RNA (tRNA) molecules are approximately 80 nucleotides in length. Their secondary structure includes four short double-helical elements and three loops (D, anti-codon, and T loops). Further hydrogen bonds mediate the characteristic L-shaped molecular structure. tRNAs have two regions of fundamental functional importance: the anti-codon, which is responsible for specific mRNA codon recognition, and the 3' end, to which the tRNAs corresponding amino acid is attached (by aminoacyl-tRNA synthetases). tRNAs cope with the degeneracy of the genetic code in two manners: having more than one tRNA (with a specific anti-codon) for a particular amino acid; and 'wobble' base-pairing, i.e. permitting non-standard base-pairing at the 3rd anti-codon position. RNAcentral also lists the same sequence under 1 other name. The record is from Rfam by way of RNAcentral. Lineage: Eukaryota; Metazoa; Chordata; Mammalia; Artiodactyla; Bovidae.